Molecule: ribosomal RNA, 410 nt
Filed under: uncultured bacterium
Lineage: Bacteria
Description: bacterial SSU rRNA
Rfam family: Bacterial small subunit ribosomal RNA
Source: RNAcentral
AAUCAACGCUGGCGGCGUGCCUAACACAUGCAAGUCGAACGCGAAAGUCCCGAAAGGGAUAAGUAGAGUGGCAAACGGGUGAGUAACGCGUGGGUGACCUGCCUUCGAGUGGGGGAUAACGUUUCGAAAGGAACGCUAAUACCGCAUAACAUCCUGUCUUUUAAGAGACGGACAUCAAAGCCUGGGACCGUAAGGCCAGGCGCUUGAAGAGGGGCCCGCGUCUGAUUAGCUAGUUGGUGGGGUAAUGGCUCACCAAGGCAACGAUCAGUAUCCGGCCUGAGAGGGGCGGACGGACACACUGGGACUGAGACACGGCCCAGACUCCUACGGGAGGCAGCAGGUGGGGAAUUGUUCGCAAUGGGCGCAAGCCUGACGACGCAACGCCGCGUGGAGGAUGAAGAUUUUCGGAU